Long non-coding RNA from Toxorhynchites rutilus septentrionalis, 2684 nucleotides. RefSeq lists it as uncharacterized. The record is from RefSeq and is a predicted model, not a curated record. Lineage: Eukaryota; Metazoa; Arthropoda; Insecta; Diptera; Culicidae. The transcript is spliced from 3 exons.
CCUUAUACACGGAAUCGUCCGUGUAAGAAUUAAAAUAAAAAUUAAAUUACACUGCCCUGACAAACCUUCGCACCGGUUUGUUUACUUCUCAAACACUGUUUGGUUGGCAAUAGCGUGAGUGAAUGGUGUGAGUGUAUUGGGGAGAAUGAGUGUACAUCGCUUGUAAGCGAGGGGUGCGUGAAUGUUUGAUUGGUUGAAUAUUUAGUUUUGUUUUGUAAUUUUGUUAGGAAAAAGGUCAUCUAAUCGUUGGUAGCAUGCCAACGAUUGAGAAUGACGAACUUUAAGAUCUUUCUUCUGAUGGGAGCAGGAAAUCUUUGGAUCCUUCCAGAGUAGUUUCCAUAUCCGAAGAAAUUUCGGGCAAAUUUAAGAUGGAUAUUGUUUUCAUUCCUUUUUACUUGGAUAAAGUUCUGAGGUCGGAAUGAACAAUAUUCAUCGAGUUAUUUUUUCGACGUAGGUCGAUAGUACGUUCUUUUUUACAUCUCCAGAAAUACUUCUAUUUAUGAGAAGUGGAGGAUGUAAAGAUUUUAGUUAUAGUUUUGAGUAAUUUCGAGUAUAUUUUUUCUUCAUUUUGUGUAAAUAGGAUUGUCAACUAAAUAGUAGCUCUGGAAGGUCAGAUCGAUUGAUGUUUUUUUUUUCUCGAGUUUUUUCUUGUCUCUCAGUUCAGUAGUUUUCGGUUAGUUAGUUCUCUAUAAUACCAGUAAUUUUUGAUGGGCGUUUAGAGUUAACCUUUGUAGGGUUUCACAUGACAUUUCGCUGGAGACCGGAGCUGCAAAGCGUUGAUGGUCAGUUACAGACAGAUCAAUUGAUCUGAUACUGGAAAUAGAGGAUGAGUCAAUUCAGUUUGACGAUGACCACAUAUGACCCCGAAAAUGUUACUAAACAAUUCUGCGAAGGGAGACUCUAUUUUCGCCUUCGAAAAUUUGAUUGGUGCAGGCCAAUCAAAUUUUCGAAAAUUAAGCAGGGAAUGAUGUAGCACGGUACUGAUUUCGACUUUUGGAAGCCCCUCGUUUCGUUAUUUUGAAUUUCAGAUCCAACACAAUCUCUCCUGUGUGGAUCUGGGAUUCUCUCUUCUUUCUAUGUAUUGGAUGUUUGGCAACGCGAGUGCCGCUCCCGAUUUUAGAUUUGAGCAACUAGCCAAAAUGGGUGCUGGAUGUGACUGGGCGGCUGUUUUAGCCAAGACACCCACCUACCAACACUCCGAAAGACUCAUGCUUUCCUUUUUUUUGCUAUUUUUUCAUUUGGAUAUUUCCCCCAAAUGGCAGAGUCUUUCGGCGGGGUUUUCUUGUUCUUCAAAUUUCAAAACCCGGCGAGCGCUUCGACUUGAACUCUGCUCGGGAGGUUAAAGGGUAUCGCCCGCGAAUGCUUGAAUGCGCGACCAAUGAAAGCGCAGGGGAAUUUCGGUAUGAAUACAAAAUAGUUAACAUCGUUAACUAUUACGUAAUUCCGGUUCCAAUGAAUGUCUCGCUGAUCUGAGGAUCUUGAGAUAUGCUUGCCAUUCCGACUUCGAAAGUGAAAAAGGCAGGAGCGGAUUAGUUUGUUCUGGUGUCGCGAGUUGAAAUCCGAAGAAUAGUGAUUAAAUUUAGUCCAGUAGUUGUUUUCCGUGAAUUUAACUCUCCGCUUGUGUCCCCAUUGAGCGGAACUGAAGGAAAAAGCCGCUUCUGACCCACGAUCGGAGAUUGGAUUUCCGCCACCUUGUCCGUCAAUUCUAGUGGCCGCGCGGAGCGCAAACCAUCACUCGCGCAUCCAGGGAAGGCGCAUCACGACACAUCUACGAGUCGAACGCGCACUCAACGCCUACGGACUUACCAUUCAUCGCCUGGCGUGGAACGGCGAUAAGGUAGAUUCUCCACGUAAAACCUAGGUAGUGUGAGUAGAAAACUAUUUUUACCCUAAAAUAACAUGCGCAUGUAGGGUUAAAAGAACCAAAGAAUAAAACCACACACAACUAACAACGCCACACAACAAUGCCACAUGCAAUCGAAGCGUAGAGAUUUACCGACGGCGCGCUUAUGCUGAUCGCUAUUAAUAAAGGGUUACACAAGAUGCGAAAUUAGGCUUUGUAGAAUAAUCGCUGGACUUGAAUCAAUGGGUCCGAUGUUCGAAUCCCGUAAUAGUUAAAUAAAAUUGUUCAUGUAGUUAUUAUUUUUCGUUAAUUGGAAGUUUCGAAGUAAAUGUUGUAAAUAUAAUUAAAACUUGUGGGAUAAUAUGUUGAGUUAGCUGAAUGAAUGUUGUGUGAUAACCAAUAAUUAGAUGUAGACGGAAGUUUUGUGCAUUUACUGGCUAGCGGUGUAGCCUAAAAACCCGAAUAAAUUUCAGAUAGGUCACGAGCCCAGGGUUGGGGCUCCUCUUCUGUUGUGGACAACUUUUCAACCCCCGCACCUCGUCCUCUGAAACUUCAAGGUGGGUGGGUUUGGCAUCAUUGCGUAGGUCCAAUGAUGAGAAUUUUGGCAUAAACGGUGUUCAUUGGAAACAACCGUAUUGCCUCUGUUGCCUGAAUUGUGGAACGCGGACAAACGGUGUCGCGGGUCCUUCUUAGCGCAGAAGAGUCGCGGAAAUAACCGGGUUUGUGAGAAAAAGGACAAACCCGCCCUCAGUGGGUGUCUCAUUGCCGGGCAAGGAUAAAACACGGCGGUCGGUCUCCCUCGCGGGAGUGGCGCUUAAGCCGACCGCUUAUCUGCGCAAAA